This 253-nucleotide ribosomal RNA is filed under the name uncultured bacterium. RNAcentral's name for it is "partial 16S ribosomal RNA". It matches the Rfam family "Bacterial small subunit ribosomal RNA", at positions 524 to 776 of the family's 1533-position model. The record is from RNAcentral.
UACGGAGGGGGCUAGCGUUGUUCGGAAUUACUGGGCGUAAAGCGCACGUAGGCGGUCUUUUAAGCCAGAGGUGAAAGCCCGGGGCUCAACUCCGGAAUUGCCUUUGAAACUGGAAGACUUGAACACGGGAGAGGUGAGUGGAAUUCCGAGUGUAGAGGUGAAAUUCGUAGAUAUUCGGAGGAACACCAGUGGCGAAGGCGGCUCACUGGACCGUUGUUGACGAUGAGGUGCGAAAGCGUGGGGAGCAAACAGG